This 86-nucleotide small nucleolar RNA is filed under the name Cicer arietinum (chickpea). Its description in RNAcentral is "small nucleolar RNA snoR114". It matches the Rfam family "small nucleolar RNA snoR114". The record is from Rfam by way of RNAcentral. Lineage: Eukaryota; Viridiplantae; Streptophyta; Magnoliopsida; Fabales; Fabaceae.
UAGCUAUGACGAAAAAUGUGUCAAAUGUGGUGACGGGUUCAUCACAAACGCAUACUUCGGUGGCGAAAUAUGGCACAUCUGAGCUU